RNAcentral lists this ribosomal RNA (509 nucleotides) under uncultured bacterium. RNAcentral describes it as "bacterial SSU rRNA". It matches the Rfam family "Bacterial small subunit ribosomal RNA", at positions 28 to 496 of the family's 1533-position model. The record is from RNAcentral.
GACGAACGCUGGCGGCGUGCCUAAUACAUGCAAGUCGAACGCACUCUCGUUUAGAUUGAAGGAGCUUGCUCCUGAUUGAUAAACAUUUGAGUGAGUGGCGGACGGGUGAGUAACACGUGGGUAACCUGCCCUAAAGUGGGGGAUAACAUUUGGAAACAGAUGCUAAUACCGCAUAAAACCUAAACACCGCAUGGUGUAGGGUUGAAGGAUGGUUUCGGCUAUCACUUUAGGAUGGACCCGCGGUGCAUUAGUUAGUUGGUGAGGUAAAGGCUCACCAAGACCGUGAUGCAUAGCCGACCUGAGAGGGUAAUCGGCCACACUGGGACUGAGACACGGCCCAGACUCCUACGGGAGGCAGCAGUAGGGAAUCUUCCACAAUGGACGAAAGUCUGAUGGAGCAACGCCGCGUGAGUGAAGAAGGUUUCGGAUCGUAAAACUCUGUUGUUGGAGAAGAAUGUAUCUGAUAGUAACUGAUCAGGUAGUGACGGUAUCCAACCAGAAAGCCACGG